GAUGAACGCUGGCGGCGUGCCUAAUACAUGCAAGUCGAGCGAACGGACGAGAAGCUUGCCUCUCUGAUGCUAGCGGCGGACGGGUGAGUAACACGUGGAUAACCUACCUAUAAGACUGGGGUAACUUCGGGAAACCGUAUCUAAUACCGGAUAAUAUUUUGAACCGCAUGGUUCAAAAGAGAAAGACGGUCUUGCUGUCACUUAUAGAUGGAUCCGCGCUGCAUUAGCUAGUUGGUAAGGUAACGGCUUACCAAGGCGACGAUCCAUAGCCGACCUGAGAGGGUGAUCAGCCACACUGGAACUGAGACACGGUCCAGACUCCUACGGGAGGCAGCAGUAGGGAAUCUUCCGCAAUGGGCGAAAGCCUGACGGAGCCACGCCGCGUGAGUGAUGAAGGUCUUCGGAUCGUAAAACUCUGUUAGUAGGGAAGAAGAUAUGUGUAAGUAACUGUGCACAUCUUGACGGUACCUAAUCAGAAAGCCACGGCUAACUACGUG
Molecule: ribosomal RNA, 497 nt
Filed under: uncultured bacterium
Lineage: Bacteria
Description: partial 16S ribosomal RNA
Rfam family: Bacterial small subunit ribosomal RNA
Source: RNAcentral